UACGGAAGGGGCUAGCGUUGUUCGGAAUCACUGGGCGUAAAGCGCGCGUAGGCGGCCGGUCAAGUGCGGCGUGAAAGUCCUGGGCUCAACCCGGGGACGGCGCUGCGGACUGUCCGGCUGGAGUCCGGAAGAGGGUGGUGGAAUUCCGAGUGUAGAGGUGAAAUUCGUAGAUAUUCGGAGGAACACCGGUGGCGAAGGCGGCCACCUGGUCCGGUACUGACGCUCAAGCGCGAAAGCGUGGGGAGCAAACAGG
RNAcentral lists this ribosomal RNA (253 nucleotides) under uncultured bacterium. RNAcentral's name for it is "partial 16S ribosomal RNA". It matches the Rfam family "Bacterial small subunit ribosomal RNA", at positions 524 to 776 of the family's 1533-position model. RNAcentral also lists the same sequence under 1 other name. The record is from RNAcentral.